AAUGUCAGGACGAUAGUGGUCUAAAAUGCGCUUGGCGUUGGCAAGACCAAAAUCCUCAAAAUGAAUAAAGGCCUCAGGAAAGACUUCACGAAUGGCCUUUAUAACAUUGUCCAAAAAGCUGUCAUACUGUUCACCACGAACACGAUCCUUUCUCAAACCCAUGUAUUGAUGAUUUUUACGAUGGGUUUCAUUGUUGGUGCCAACAUCGAGAACAAUGGGCAAGAAUCGAUUAGGGUCUAAACCCGCGCAUAAAGUCAUUAAAUGUCCCUUGGCAACUGAAAUUAAGACACCACCAACACCUUGAUCGCCGAUACCCAAAAUACCUUCAGAAUCGGUAAUGAUAAUGUAUUCGACACUAUCGGAUUUUCCAAACUCGGAAAGCUGUUGCUUGAUAUAAGACAAAUCGUUAUGAUCAAUAUCCAAAUAACAACCCUCAGGAUAACGAUAUAUAUCGGAAAACUGCUUGAUGGCAUCGCCUUCGGUAGGUGUAUAGAUGAUAGGAAUCAUUUCGAUCAAAUGUUGGCUGAUGAGUGCGUAAAACAGAGUUUGGUUGGUGACGCUUAAUUGAGAAAGAUACAAAUUCUUCUGUAAGGGCUCAUCACCGAUUGCUUUGUACUGGUCAUAACAGCGAUCCAC
This is a non-coding RNA of Schizosaccharomyces pombe (fission yeast), 636 nucleotides long. The record is from the annotation of a GenBank genome assembly. Lineage: Eukaryota; Fungi; Ascomycota; Schizosaccharomycetes; Schizosaccharomycetales; Schizosaccharomycetaceae.